Molecule: ribosomal RNA, 569 nt
Filed under: uncultured Staphylococcus sp.
Lineage: Bacteria; Bacillati; Bacillota; Bacilli; Caryophanales; Staphylococcaceae
Description: bacterial SSU rRNA
Rfam family: Bacterial small subunit ribosomal RNA
Source: RNAcentral
GGAGCAUGUGGUUUAAUUCGAAGCAACGCGAAGAACCUUACCAAAUCUUGACAUCCUUUGAAAACUCUAGAGAUAGAGCCUUCCCCUUCGGGGGACAAAGUGACAGGUGGUGCAUGGUUGUCGUCAGCUCGUGUCGUGAGAUGUUGGGUUAAGUCCCGCAACGAGCGCAACCCUUAAGCUUAGUUGCCAUCAUUAAGUUGGGCACUCUAGGUUGACUGCCGGUGACAAACCGGAGGAAGGUGGGGAUGACGUCAAAUCAUCAUGCCCCUCAUGAUUUGGGCUACACACGUGCUACAAUGGACAAUACAAAGGGCAGCUAAACCGCGAGGUCAUGCAAAUCCCAUAAAGUUGUUCUCAGUUCGGAUUGUAGUCUGCAACUCGACUACAUGAAGCUGGAAUCGCUAGUAAUCGUAGAUCAGCAUGCUACGGUGAAUACGUUCCCGGGUCUUGUACACACCGCCCGUCACACCACGAGAGUUUGUAACACCCGAAGCCGGUGGAGUAACCAUUUAUGGAGCUAGCCGUCGAAGGUGGGACAAAUGAUUGGGGUGAAGUCGUAACAAGGUAAC